UACGUAGGGUCCGAGCGUUGUCCGGAAUUAUUGGGCGUAAAGAGCUCGUAGGCGGUUUGUCGCGUCUGCUGUGAAAUCCCGAGGCUCAACCUCGGGUCUGCAGUGGGUACGGGCAGACUGGAGUGCGGUAGGGGAGAAUGGAAUUCCUGGUGUAGCGGUGGAAUGCGCAGAUAUCAGGAGGAACACCGAUGGCGAAGGCAGGUCUCUGGGCCGAUACUGACGCUGAGGAGCGAAAGCGUGGGGAGCGAACAGG
RNAcentral lists this ribosomal RNA (253 nucleotides) under uncultured bacterium. RNAcentral describes it as "partial 16S ribosomal RNA". It matches the Rfam family "Bacterial small subunit ribosomal RNA", at positions 524 to 776 of the family's 1533-position model. The record is from RNAcentral.